CCAUUAAUCAAGAACGAAAGUUAAGGGAGUGAAGACGAUCAGAUACCGUCGUAAUCUUAACCAUAAACUAUGCCGACUAGGCUUUGGAUGAAAGAUUUUAAAAUAAGAGUUUUUCUUUUCUCUCCGGAGAUUAGAACUCUUGGAUUGCUUCCUUCAGUGCCUUAUGAGAAAUCAAAGUCUUUGGGUUCUGGGGCGAGUAUUCGCGCAAGCGAGAAAGUUAAAAGAAUUGACGGAAGGGCACCACCAGGCGUGGAGCUUGCGGCUUAAUUUGACUCAACACGGGAAAACUCACUAGUUUAAGACAAGAGUAGGAUUGACAGAUUAAUAGCUCUUUCUUGAUUUCUUGGAUGGUGAUGCAUGGCCGUUUUUAGUUCGUGAAUAUGAUUUGUCUGGUUAAUUCCGAUAACGAACGAGAUCUUAACCUGCUAAUUAGCGGCAAAUACGAUAUAUUCUUAUGUAGAAUUGAAUAUAGUGGAUUUGUUGGAUUUUGAAGAAAAUAUUGGAAUUACGUUAAAUGUGAUUCCUUUCCC
Molecule: ribosomal RNA, 530 nt
Filed under: Plasmodium knowlesi
Lineage: Eukaryota; Apicomplexa; Aconoidasida; Haemosporida; Plasmodiidae
Description: SSU rRNA
Rfam family: Eukaryotic small subunit ribosomal RNA
Source: RNAcentral